Molecule: ribosomal RNA, 319 nt
Filed under: uncultured bacterium
Lineage: Bacteria
Description: bacterial SSU rRNA
Rfam family: Bacterial small subunit ribosomal RNA
Source: RNAcentral
CCUCGGGAGGCAGCAGGUGGGGAAAUUUUCCGCAAUGGGCGAAAGCCUGUACGGAGCAACGCCGCGUGUAGGGAUGAAGGCCUCUGGGCUGUAAACCUCUUUUAUCAAGGAAGAAGAUCUGACGGUACUUGAUGAAUAAGCCACGGCUAAUUCCGUGCCAGCAGCCGCGGUAAUACGGGAGUGGCAAGCGUUAUCCGGAAUUAUUGGGCGUAAAGCGUCCGCAGGCGGCCCUUCAAGUCUGCUGUUAAAAAGUGGAGCUUAACUCCAUCAUGGCAGUGGAAACUGUUGGNCUUGAGUGUGGUAGGGGCAGAGGGAAUUC